AAACCAACAGGGAUUGCCUCAGUAACGGCGAGUGAAGCGGCAAAAGCUCAAAUUUGAAACCCUCGGGAUUGUAAUUUGAAGAUUUGGCAUUGGAGAAAGCUAACCCAAGUUGCUUGGAAUAGUACGUCAUAGAGGGUGACAACCCCGUCUGGCUAACCGUUCUCCAUGUAUUGCCUUAUCAAAGAGUCGAGUUGUUUGGGAAUGCAGCUCAAAGUGGGUGGUAAACUCCAUCUAAAGCUAAAUACUGGUGAGAGACCGAUAGCGAACAAGUACUGUGAAGGAAAGGUGAAAAGAACUUUGAAAAGAGAGUGAAAUAGUAUGUGAAAUUGUUGAUAGGGAAGGAAAUGAGUGGAGAGUGGCCGAGGUUUCAGCCGCCCCUCGUGGGCGGUGUACUGCCGACGCCGAGUCAUCGAUAGCGAGACGAGGGUUACAAAUGGGAGCGCCUUUCGGGCGUUCUCCCCUAACCCUCCACACUGCCACCGACAACAUAAUCCACCCAUUUCA
This 504-nucleotide ribosomal RNA is filed under the name Yarrowia lipolytica. RNAcentral describes it as "LSU rRNA". It matches the Rfam family "Eukaryotic large subunit ribosomal RNA", at positions 62 to 647 of the family's 3401-position model. Lineage: Eukaryota; Fungi; Ascomycota; Dipodascomycetes; Dipodascales. The record is from RNAcentral.